This 399-nucleotide ribosomal RNA is filed under the name Triticum aestivum (bread wheat). RNAcentral's name for it is "partial small subunit ribosomal RNA". The record is from RNAcentral. Lineage: Eukaryota; Viridiplantae; Streptophyta; Magnoliopsida; Poales; Poaceae.
AUGAAUGAUAAUUCUGUAAAUUUGUGCUUUGCGGGUUUCUAUGGUUAUCCUGCAUGGAAUGAAAAAUAUUUAUCUUGGGCUGAUCUUCGCCAACUGCAUUCCCUUGCUGAUUAUCCUUGGGUAGUCAUUGGAGAUUUUAAUGAAAUUAUCUAUUCUAGCGAGAAAGAAGGUGGCAAUGCUAGACCAAAUGAAAUGAUGCAGGAAUUUCGUAAGUGCUUGAGUGACUGUAACCUGGAGGAUAUGGGUUGUGUUGGUGAUACAUUCACUUGGAGAAGGGGGGACAUCUGUGAAAGGCUUGAUCAAGCUAUUUGUAAUUUAGAAUGGGCAAAUAAAUUCCCGUCUGCUGUGAUUAUUAAUGGGGAGCAUGUACACUUAGACCAUACCUCCUUUAAUCCUUGA